CCAUAGAGCACUCCAAUUUUGAGUCACCAUCGAAUUGAAAAUCUUACAUAGAUCACUGGAUGCAGGAGGACAUAUAGGAGGCCCUCUGCGACCAGUGGAGUACGAAGGGGUACUCUAAUAGGCGGCAGAGGGCACGAUAGAAUUGAUCCACCUAACAGCAUCCGAUCAAGCAUACUGACGGCUCCAUUGGUACACAUAUUAUGAUCGAUAGAUUGAUAAAAAUUUUAUACUUAAAUUAAUUUUAUAUUGAAUUAAUCAUAUAUAUAGUUUAAUUAAUUUAAUUUUAUUAUUUAUUUAUUAUAGAUAUGGCAGUUGGAUCGUGCACUAGGGCAGCUGUAGAU
This 341-nucleotide long non-coding RNA is filed under the name Elaeis guineensis (African oil palm). RNAcentral describes it as "long non-coding RNA (EGUI_LNC051631)". Lineage: Eukaryota; Viridiplantae; Streptophyta; Magnoliopsida; Arecales; Arecaceae. The record is from RNAcentral.